AUGUCAGCAGGAAAGUGCCACUAUCUGUACUUUACACUCAGGGAAUUCAGUCCAGAGAGCACAACCAGGCCACGUGUAGACAGAGGCGCCUACCAACCCUUUCCCCACCACUGCCAGCACAAAGAUGAGGUGGGCUCACAGAAGCAGGAAGCAAGUUUGAAGUUUAAGGUCCAGAAGACACCAGUAUGUAGCCUGAUGCUGUACAGAUCAUGGGACCAACGUCCUCGCUUCAUACAGCUUCCAAGCAUGUAGCACCCAGAGAAAAGAAUCUAAGAAACCUAAAGCUUAAGUGUGAUUUUGUCUUCUCUGCCACUAAAGCAUUUUUUGAGUAUUUUCCCUAGAACUACCACCUAAUAGCAACUAAAUAAAUUGCAUUCUAGGGACA
RNAcentral lists this long non-coding RNA (385 nucleotides) under Anas platyrhynchos platyrhynchos (common mallard). RNAcentral describes it as "lncRNA (ENSAPLG00000022668.1)". The record is from RNAcentral. Lineage: Eukaryota; Metazoa; Chordata; Aves; Anseriformes; Anatidae.